AGCGUAGACGGCAAGGCAAGUCUGAUGUGAAAACCCAGGGCUUAACCCUGGGACUGCAUUGGAAACUGUCUGGCUCGAGUGCCGGAGAGGUAAGCGGAAUUCCUAGUGUAGCGGUGAAAUGCGUAGAUAUUAGGAAGAACACCAGUGGCGAAGGCGGCUUUCUGGCGAAAACUGACGCUGAGGCGCGAAAGCCAGGGGAGCGAACG
RNAcentral lists this ribosomal RNA (206 nucleotides) under uncultured bacterium. RNAcentral's name for it is "partial 16S ribosomal RNA". It matches the Rfam family "Bacterial small subunit ribosomal RNA", at positions 568 to 774 of the family's 1533-position model. The record is from RNAcentral.